CUUGAGGAGAAACAUGCUUUCUCAAUAGUUCUAAUGAAGGAAAAGAAAAUGGGGGUGAGUCUGAAUACAUUGUAUUUACUUGCAGUAUGAUCCCGAUGAAAAAUCUUUCUAAUGGUCAAAUGAUGAUAAGGAAAAAAAGGCAGAGAUUGGGCUGUGAGCGUCUCCCAGCUGUGACUUCCCCUUGCUGCUGGGCACAGAGGAAAUCCAUCAGGUGGCCAGGUCCAUCUGCACAUGUAUACAUUCAAUUCCUCAUUGCACUGAAGAAAGCAACUCGCAACGUUAACUCCAUUAACAUUAUGACAUCUUAAUGGUUUAGUUUCCUGCUAUCCAUGCUGAAGCUGUGGAUCACAGAGGUGGCAGUGCUGCGUGACUGCUGUGUUCACAGAAACAUGCACCUAUAAAGUGAAUUUGUUUACAAACUGAGGAGAUAAGACUACACAGACACCACAAAGUGAAUACGGCCAUAUGUUUCAUUACCAGCCCAGUGCCAGGAUGAAGACCAUCCAUUAGCUUUUUUCUCCUUUAGGAAGUGGUGAAUCUGAGUAAGGGUUAGAAGUGAAAAAAUGGAUCAAAAGAAUAGCCCAAGGCCUGGCUAGUUGCUUUGUUUGGAGCAAAUGUGUUGGUAUGACCUGGGAAGAACUGAAUAUCUUCCUGUCUGUGCGUGCAGUGCAACUCAGGCUUACCCAAGCAGGGUAGUGAUGGUGGUAACAACAAUAUUUCUUUAAAGGCCAUCAAGGUUAGACUGUAACAGCUCUGGACUUCAAGUAUGACAACCAUAGUGAGCAUUCCAAAUAAUCACUAAUAAAAUACGCCAAGAGUGAAAACUGCA
This is a long non-coding RNA of Anser brachyrhynchus (Pink-footed goose), 829 nucleotides long. Lineage: Eukaryota; Metazoa; Chordata; Aves; Anseriformes; Anatidae. The record is from Ensembl.